RNAcentral lists this ribosomal RNA (470 nucleotides) under uncultured bacterium. RNAcentral's name for it is "bacterial SSU rRNA". It matches the Rfam family "Bacterial small subunit ribosomal RNA", at positions 335 to 797 of the family's 1533-position model. The record is from RNAcentral.
AGCCUACGGGUGGCAGCAGUGGGGAAUAUUGGACAAUGGGGGGAACCCUGAUCCAGCCAUGCCGCGUGUGUGAAGAAGGCCUUUUGGUUGUAAAGCACUUUAAGCGAGGAGGAGGCUCCCAGUAUUAAUACUACUGGAGAGUGGACGUUACUCGCAGAAUAAGCACCGGCUAACUCUGUGCCAGCAGCCGCGGUAAUACAGAGGGUGCAAGCGUUAAUCGGAUUUACUGGGCGUAAAGCGUGCGUAGGUGGCCAAUUAAGUCAAAUGUGAAAUCCCCGAGCUUAACUUGGGAAUUGCAUUCGAUACUGGUUGGCUAGAGUAUGGGAGAGGAUGGUAGAAUUCCAGGUGUAGCGGUGAAAUGCGUAGAGAUCUGGAGGAAUACCGAUGGCGAAGGCAGCCAUCUGGCCUAAUACUGACACUGAGGUACGAAAGCAUGGGGAGCAAACAGGAUUAGAUACCCGGGUAGUCCA